UUGGUCUUGGAUCAUAUGGACUUUCGAGUUCAUGAUCUUAAAAUCAUUGGCGGCGCAACAUGAAUCCCAAGCGUAGUGACACUAUUUUUUGCUUCGAGGAUUUGUGAUGUGGUAGCCAAAAACUUGUGACUGUACUCCGGUGCUUUCAAAAUUUUUCUUUGAUUGACCUCGGAUCAGGUAGGGAUACCCGCUGAACUUAA
This 200-nucleotide unclassified non-coding RNA is filed under the name soil metagenome. RNAcentral describes it as "partial contains internal transcribed spacer 2 and large subunit ribosomal RNA". The record is from RNAcentral.